Molecule: ribosomal RNA, 328 nt
Filed under: uncultured eukaryote
Lineage: Eukaryota
Description: partial 18S ribosomal RNA
Rfam family: Eukaryotic small subunit ribosomal RNA
Source: RNAcentral
CCCUUAGAUGUCCUGGGCCGCACGCGCGUUACACUGAUGCAUUCAACGAGCUUAUAACCUUGGCCGAGAGGCCUGGGCAAUCUUGUUAACGUGCAUCGUGAUAGGGAUAGAUUAUUGAAAUUAUUAAUCUUGAACGAGGAAUUCCUAGUAAACGCAGAUCAUCAAUCUGCAUUGAUUACGUCCCUGCCCUUUGUACACACCGCCCGUCGCACCUACCGAUUGGAUGGUCCGGUGAUGCCUCGGGAUUGUGGUUCUUGCCGCUUUAUUGUGGCGUGACCGCGAGAACUUGUCUAAACCUUAUCAUCUAGAGGAAGGUGAAGUCGUAACA